CGCACAUUGCGCCCGCCAGUAUUCUGCCGGGCAUGCCUGUCCGAGCGUCAUUUCAACCCUCGAGCCCCCGGGCUUGGUGUUGGGGAUCGGCCCGCCCCCGUGGCAGGCCGGCCCCGAAAUCUAGUGGCGGUCUCGUCGUAGCUUCCUCUGCGUAGUAAUGCACCUCGCACCGGGACGCGGCGCGGCCACGCCGUAAAACCCCCCACUUCUGAAAGGUUGACCUCGGAUCAGGUAGGAAUACCCGCUGAACUUAA
RNAcentral lists this unclassified non-coding RNA (254 nucleotides) under Nectriaceae sp. Its description in RNAcentral is "partial contains 5.8S ribosomal RNA, internal transcribed spacer 2, and large subunit ribosomal RNA". Lineage: Eukaryota; Fungi; Ascomycota; Sordariomycetes; Hypocreales; Nectriaceae. The record is from RNAcentral.